GACGAACGCUGGCGGCGUGCUUAACACAUGCAAGUCGAACGGAAAGGCCCUGCUUUUGUGGGGUGCUCGAGUGGCGAACGGGUGAGUAACACGUGAGUAACCUGCCCUUGACUUUGGGAUAACUUCAGGAAACUGGGGCUAAUACCGGAUAGGAGCUCCUGCUGCAUGGUGGGGGUUGGAAAGUUUCGGCGGUUGGGGAUGGACUCGCGGCUUAUCAGCUUGUUGGUGGGGUAGUGGCUUACCAAGGCUUUGACGGGUAGCCGGCCUGAGAGGGUGACCGGCCUCAUUGGUACUGAGGUACGGACCAGUGUCAUACGGUGGACAGCAGGGGGAAGUAUGGCCCAGUGGGACGAAGCCUGAUGAAGCAGCGCCGGGUGCGGGAUGCCGGCCUGCGGGUUGUAAACCGCUUUCGCCUGUGACGAAGCGGGAGUGACGGUAAUGAGUGAAGAAGCACCGGCUAACUACGUG
RNAcentral lists this ribosomal RNA (468 nucleotides) under uncultured bacterium. Its description in RNAcentral is "partial 16S ribosomal RNA". It matches the Rfam family "Bacterial small subunit ribosomal RNA", at positions 28 to 507 of the family's 1533-position model. The record is from RNAcentral.